GGAGAGGUGGCAGAGUGGUCGAAUGUACCUGACUCGAAAUCAGGCGUGCGGUAUCCCCGCACCGUGGGUUCGAAUCCCACCCUCUCCGCCA
Molecule: transfer RNA, 91 nt
Filed under: Pseudideonella sakaiensis
Lineage: Bacteria; Pseudomonadati; Pseudomonadota; Betaproteobacteria; Burkholderiales; Sphaerotilaceae
Also listed under: 4 other names
Description: Piscinibacter sakaiensis tRNA-Ser
Rfam family: tRNA
About the family: Transfer RNA (tRNA) molecules are approximately 80 nucleotides in length. Their secondary structure includes four short double-helical elements and three loops (D, anti-codon, and T loops). Further hydrogen bonds mediate the characteristic L-shaped molecular structure. tRNAs have two regions of fundamental functional importance: the anti-codon, which is responsible for specific mRNA codon recognition, and the 3' end, to which the tRNAs corresponding amino acid is attached (by aminoacyl-tRNA synthetases). tRNAs cope with the degeneracy of the genetic code in two manners: having more than one tRNA (with a specific anti-codon) for a particular amino acid; and 'wobble' base-pairing, i.e. permitting non-standard base-pairing at the 3rd anti-codon position.
Source: RNAcentral